CUGCGAAUGGCUCAUUAUAUAAGUUAUCGUUUAUUUGAUAGUACCUUACUACUUGGAUAACCGUGGUAAUUCUAGAGCUAAUACAUGCUAAAAAUCCCGACUUCGGAAGGGAUGUAUUUAUUAGAUACAAAACCAAUGCCCCUCGGGGCUCUCUGGUGAUUCAUGAUAACUCGUCGAAUCGCACGGCCUUGCGCCGGCGAUGGUUCAUUCAAAUUUCUUCCCUAUCAACUUUCGAUGUUUGGGUAGUGGCCAAACAUGGUGGCAACGGGUAACGGAGGGUUAGGGCUCGACCCCGGAGAAGGAGCCUGAGAAACGGCUACUACAUCCAAGGAAGGCAGCAGGCGCGCAAAUUACCCAAUCCCGAUACGGGGAGGUAGUGACAAUAAAUACUGAUACAGGGCUCUUUUGGGUCUUGUAAUUGGAAUGAGUACAAUUUAAAUCCCUUAACGAGGAACAAUUGGAGGGCAAGUCUGGUGCCAGCAGCCGCGGUAAUUCCAGCUCCAAUAGCGUAUAUUAAAGUUGUUGUGGUUAAAAAGCUCGUAGUUGAAUCUUGGGCCUGGCUGGCCGGUCCGCCUCACCGCGUGUACUGGUCCGGCCGGGUCUUUCACUCUGCGGAACCACAUGCCCUUCAGUGGGUGUGGCGGGGAAGCAGGACGUUUACUUUGAAAAAAUUAGAGUGCUCUAAGCAGGCCAAUGCUCGGAUACAUUAGCAUGGAAUAAUAAAAUAGGACGCGCGGUUCUAUUUUGUUGGUUUCUAGGACCGCCGUAAUGAUGAAUAGGGACAGUCGGGGGCAUCAGUAUUCAGUUGUCAGAGGUGAAAUUCUUGGAUCUACUGAAGACUAACUACUGCGAAAGCAUUUGCCAAGGAUGUUUUCAUUAAUCAGGAACGAAAGUUAGGGGAUCGAAGACGAUCAGAUACCGUCGUAGUCUUAACCAUAAACUAUGCCGACUAGGGAUCGGACGAUGUUAUUUAGUUGACUCGUUCGGCACCUUACGAGAAAUCAAAGU
Molecule: ribosomal RNA, 1008 nt
Filed under: Metarhizium gryllidicola
Lineage: Eukaryota; Fungi; Ascomycota; Sordariomycetes; Hypocreales; Clavicipitaceae
Description: SSU rRNA
Rfam family: Eukaryotic small subunit ribosomal RNA
Source: RNAcentral